AACACAUGCAAGACGAACGAAGCACUUAACCGGAUUUCUUCGGGAUGAAAGUUUUGUGACUGAGUGGCGGACGGGUGAGUAACGCGUGGGUAACCUGCCUCAUACAGGGGGAUAACAGUUAGAAAUGACUGCUGAUACCGCAUAAGACCACAGGAUUGCAUGAUCCGGUGGUAAAAACUCCGGUGGUAUGAGAUGGACCCGCGUCUGAUUAGGUAGUUGGUGGGGUAACGGCUCACCAAGCCGACGAUCAGUAGCCGACCUGAGAGGGUGACCGGCCACAUUGGGACUGAGACACGGCCCAAACUCCUACGGGAGGCAGCAGUGGGGAAUAUUGCACAAUGGGGGAAACCCUGAUGCAGCGACGCCGCGUGAGCGAUGAAGUAUUUCGGUAUGUAAAGCUCUAUCAGCAGGGAAGAAAAUGACGGUACCUGACUAAGAAGCACCGGCUAAAUACGUGCCAGCAGCCGCGGUAAUACGUAUGGUGCAAGCGUUAUCCGGAUUUACUGGGUGUAAAGGGAGCGUAGACGGAGAGGCAAGUCUGAUGUGAAAUCCCGGGGCUCAACCCCGGGGCUGCAUUGGAAACUGUUUUUCUAGAGUGUCGGAGAGGUAAGUGGAAUUCCUAGUGUAGCGGUGAAAUGCGUAGAUAUUAGGAGGAACACCAGUGGCGAAGGCGGCUUACUGGACGAUGACUGACGUUGAGGCUCGAAAGCGAGGGGAGCAAACAGGAUUCGAUUCCCUGGUAGUCCCCCCCGCAAACGAUGAACUGCUAGGUGUCGGGAGGCAAAGCCCCUCGGUGCCGCAGCAAACGCAAUAAGCAGUCCACCUGGGGAGUACGUUCGCAAGAAUGAAACUCAAAGGAAUUGACGGGGACCCCCACAAGCGGUGGAGCAUGUGGUUUAAUUUGAAGCAACGCGAAGAACCUUACCUGCCCUUGACAUCCGGCUGACUGGCGAGUAAUGUCGCCUUUCCUUCGGGACAGCCGAGACAGGUGGUGCAUGGUUGUCGUCAGCUCGUGUCGUGAGAUGUUGGGUUAAGUCCCGCAACGAGCGCAACCCUUAUCUUUAGUAGCCAGCAUUUCGGAUGGGCACUCUAGAGAGACUGCCAGGGAUAACCUGGAGGAAGGUGGGGAGGACGUCAAAUCAUCAUGCCCCCUAUGGGCAGGGCUACACACGUGCUACAAUGGCGUAAACAAAGGGAGGCAAGCCUGCGAGGGUGAGCAAAUCCCAAAAAUAACGUCUCAGUUCGGAUUGUAGUCUGCAACUCGACUACAUGAAGCUGGAAUCGCUAGUAAUCGCGAAUCAGAAUGUCGCGGUGAAAAAGGUCCCGGGUCUUGCACA
RNAcentral lists this ribosomal RNA (1337 nucleotides) under uncultured bacterium. RNAcentral's name for it is "bacterial SSU rRNA". It matches the Rfam family "Bacterial small subunit ribosomal RNA", at positions 50 to 1387 of the family's 1533-position model. The record is from RNAcentral.